This 765-nucleotide ribosomal RNA is filed under the name Triticum aestivum (bread wheat). Its description in RNAcentral is "partial small subunit ribosomal RNA". Lineage: Eukaryota; Viridiplantae; Streptophyta; Magnoliopsida; Poales; Poaceae. The record is from RNAcentral.
AUGGGAAGUGGGAGGUGUAAAGAUUACCCCUCUUGCGACAUUGCCUUCAAUGCGGUUAUGCAUCUAAGUCGUGCUCCGACACAUGAGAGAUAUAGCUGCAUCGAGAGUGUUACAAAAGGGCCUUACGAACUGGUGCUAUUGCCCAGUUCUGCACUAGUGGUUUCACAGCAAGAAAGCAAAUGCUGGCAGAGGAGAGUGGCCAAAGCCAAGCUCAGUGGUCGGUGUGAUGUGAUGGCUUCCAUCCCGUACAGUCCCCGCCGUCGGCAGACGGAGUCCUCCGCCUGGCCCGACCUCCCACCGGAGCUCCUGGAGAAGCGCCAACCUCUGCGCGCGCUGCACGGGGAGGAGGUCGGGCACCAGCUGUACAACUGGAAGUGGCGGCGCUUCUAUCUGGUGGAGUCCGAUGGGGAGCUCCUCCUGGUGGCGAAGAAAGUAGUGCAGGGCAUAAGGCGGUGUUCGUGCCGGCCCAAGUAUUCGGUUCAAAUGGAGGUGCGGCGGUUCCUGCCGGCGCGGCGUGAGUGGGAGGCAGCGACGGAGCUUCCCGGCGGGAAGGCGCUGUUUGUGGGGACGGCUGCCUCGGUGGCGGUGUCGUCGUCGGCAUCGCCGGGGAUCCGGAAGAACUGCGUGUACUUGGCGCAGCGGGACGAGGGGAUGCAUGCCAUCGGCGUGUACUCGCUUGGCGACCGGGAGACGACGGUGCUGGGCAUCGCCGGCGGGCACUUGGUCGACAUCGAGCCCGUCUGGACUUCCCCGUGGGUCGCCUGA